GACGAACGCUGGCGGCGUGCUUAACACAUGCAAGUUGAACGGAAAGUCUCUGCUCUUGUGUUGUGUUCGAGUGGCUAACGGGUGAUUAACACGUGAGUCACCUUCCCUUGACUUUGGGUUAACUUCAUGAUACUGUUGCUAAUAUUGUAUAGGAGCUCCUUCUGCAUGGUGGGGUUUGUAUAGUUUCGGCGGUUGGGGAUGGAUUCGCGGCGUAUUAGCUGGUUGGUGGGGUAGUGGCUUACCAAGGCUUUGACGGGUAGCCGGCCUGAGAGGGUGACCGGCCGGAUUGGGACUGAGAUACGGCCCAGACUCCGAGGGGAGGCAGCAGUGGGGAAUAUUGCACAAUGGGCGGAAGCCUGAUGAAGCAAGGCAGCGUGAGGGAUGACGGCCUUCGGGUUGUAAACCGCUUAGGCUUGAGACGAAGCAUGAGUGACGGUAAUGGGUGAAGAAGCAACGGCUAACUACGUG
Molecule: ribosomal RNA, 468 nt
Filed under: uncultured bacterium
Lineage: Bacteria
Description: partial 16S ribosomal RNA
Rfam family: Bacterial small subunit ribosomal RNA
Source: RNAcentral